CACGUAGGGCGCAAGCGUUGUCCGGAAUUAUUGGGCGUAAAGAGCUCGUAGGCGGUCUGUUACGUCUGCUGUGAAAACCCGGGGCUUAACCCUGGGCUUGCAGUGGAUACGGGCAGACUAGAGGCAGGUAGGGGAGAAUGGAAUUCCCGGUGUAGCGGUGAAAUGCGCAGAUAUCGGGAGGAACACCGGUGGCGAAGGCGGUUCUCUGGGCCUGACCUGACGCUGAGGAGCGAAAGCGUGGGGAGUGAACAGG
This 253-nucleotide ribosomal RNA is filed under the name uncultured bacterium. RNAcentral describes it as "partial 16S ribosomal RNA". It matches the Rfam family "Bacterial small subunit ribosomal RNA", at positions 524 to 776 of the family's 1533-position model. The record is from RNAcentral.